AGCGAACGCUGGCGGCAGGCUUAACACAUGCAAGUCGAGCGGGCACUUCGGUGUCAGCGGCAGACGGGUGAGUAACACGUGGGAACGUACCCUUUGGUUCGGAAUAACGCUGGGAAACUAGCGCUAAUACCGGAUACGCCCUUUUGGGGAAAGGCUUGCUGCCGAAGGAUCGGCCCGCGUCUGAUUAGCUAGUUGGUGGGGUAAUGGCCUACCAAGGCGACGAUCAGUAGCUGGUCUGAGAGGAUGAUCAGCCACACUGGGACUGAGACACGGCCCAGACUCCUACGGGAGGCAGCAGUGGGGAAUAUUGGACAAUGGGCACAAGCCUGAUCCAGCCAUGCCGCGUGAGUGAUGAAGGCCUUAGGGUUGUAAAGCUCUUUUGUCCGGGACGAUAAUGACGGUACCGGAAGAAUAAGCCCCGGCUAACUUCGUG
This 433-nucleotide ribosomal RNA is filed under the name uncultured bacterium. Its description in RNAcentral is "partial 16S ribosomal RNA". It matches the Rfam family "Bacterial small subunit ribosomal RNA", at positions 29 to 507 of the family's 1533-position model. The record is from RNAcentral.